GUGCCCCCUCUGGCAGCAUAUAUACUAAAAUUAGAAAGAUACUGAGACAAUUAGCAUGCCCCCACCCCCCUUCCCCCACGCCCCCGCACAAGGAUGACAUGCAAAUUCAUGAAGCUCUCCCGACUUUG
Molecule: small nuclear RNA, 128 nt
Organism: Ailuropoda melanoleuca (giant panda)
Lineage: Eukaryota; Metazoa; Chordata; Mammalia; Carnivora; Ursidae
Source: Ensembl